CCCUUAGAUGUUCUGGGCCGCACGCGCGCUACACUGAUGCAUUCAACGAGCCUAUCCUUGACCGACAGGUCCGGGUAAUCUUUGAAUCUGCAUCGUGACGGGGAUAGAUUAUUGCAAUUAUUUAUCUUCAACGAGGAAUGCCUAGUAGGCGCAAGUCAUCAGCUUGCGUCGAUUACGUCCCUGCCCUUUGUACACACCGCCCGUCGCUCCUACCGAUUGGGUGUGCUGGUGAAAUGUUCGGAUCGGCCGUUUGUCGCGGUUUCCGCGUCAUGUGGCUGAGAAGUUCAUUAAACCCUCCCACCUAGAGGAAGGAGAAGUCGUAACA
Molecule: ribosomal RNA, 325 nt
Filed under: uncultured eukaryote
Lineage: Eukaryota
Description: partial 18S ribosomal RNA
Rfam family: Eukaryotic small subunit ribosomal RNA
Source: RNAcentral